GCUUAUACUCGACCGUCAGCGGCAGGUGCGAUCGCGCGAGCUUUCACGAGCGAGCGCGCGGUCACGAAGCCCUGACGAGUAGGAGGGUCGCGGCGGUGAGCGCAGAAGGGCUGGCCGCGAGGCCGUCUGGAGCCGCCGUCGGUGCAGAUCUUGGUGGUAGUAGCAAAUACUCCAGCGAGGCCCUGGAGGACUGACGUGGAGAAGGGUUUCGUGUGAACAGCCGUUGCACACGAGUCAGUCGAUCCUAAGCCCUAGGCGAAAGCCGAUGUCGAUGCGGUGUAGUUUUUACGAUAAUAAUACGAAAUUCGACUAAGACUACGACGACUACGACGACGACGAAAUAACUGUUAAUUCGUUCGUUCUCGUUCGUUCGUGUUUCGUCGAAUCAUAACGCGAGAGCACACACCCGUCGGGCGAAAGGGAAUCCGGUUCCUAUUCCGGAACCUGGCAGCGGAACCGUCAAAAAGUCGGGC
This 473-nucleotide ribosomal RNA is filed under the name Echinodera siciliensis. Its description in RNAcentral is "eukaryotic LSU rRNA". It matches the Rfam family "Eukaryotic large subunit ribosomal RNA", at positions 1340 to 1663 of the family's 3401-position model. Lineage: Eukaryota; Metazoa; Arthropoda; Insecta; Coleoptera; Curculionidae. The record is from RNAcentral.